CUCACUCUAUGACAUUUUACAUUCACUGUUUAUAGAUUAUUCCCACACCGACAAUGUGCAUUCGGCUCUUACUAAUGUUUUUACUACUAAAACAUAAAACCUGUAUAAAAAAAAGUCUGAAAACACGAAUGCCCCCGCUUAAAAUUUUCAAUUUUCCAAGUUAUAAAGGGGCAUAAUUGUCCAAAAAAUUACUGCCCAAAUUCUAACUCGGCCUAACUUUGUGUGAUUAUUAACAUUGUGUGUGAAUUUCAAUAAUUUUGGAUAAGGCAAAUUAACGACAGAGUGCGGACACCAAACUAAAUUCAUUAAUAUAACUUGUGACCCGUUAUCACUGAAUUGUUGGGACAAAAACCACUGAAUUCAACACGCCAUUAGUGAUAAUAUUCCUUGUGUUAAAAUGUAAUACAAACGAC
This 413-nucleotide long non-coding RNA is filed under the name Mytilus galloprovincialis (Mediterranean mussel). The record is from RNAcentral. Lineage: Eukaryota; Metazoa; Mollusca; Bivalvia; Mytilida; Mytilidae.